AGAGUUUGAUCCUGGCUCAGGACGAACGCUGGCGGCGUGCCUAAUACAUGCAAGUCGAGCGRACAGAUAAGGAGCUUGCUCCUUUGACGUUAGCGGCGGACGGGUGAGUAACACGUGGGCAACCUACCCUAUAGUUUGGGAUAACUCCGGGAAACCGGGGCUAAUACCGAAUAAUCUUUUGUCUCUCAUGAGACAAUUCUGAAAGACGGCAUCUCGCUGUCGCUAUAGGAUGGGCCCGCGGCGCAUUAGCUAGUUGGUGAGGUAACGGCUCACCAAGGCAACGAUGCGUAGCCGACCUGAGAGGGUGAUCGGCCACACUGGGACUGAGACACGGCCCARACUCCUACGGGAGGCAGCAGUAGGGAAUCUUCCACAAUGGGCGAAAGCCUGAUGGAGCAACGCCGCGUGAGUGAAGAAGGAUUUCUGUUCGUAAAACUCUGUUGUAAGGGAAGAACAUGUACAGUACUAACUGGCUGUACCUUGACGGUACCUUAUUAAAAAGCCACGGCUAACUACGUGCCAGCAGCCGCGGUAAUACGUAGGUGGCAAGCGUUGUCCGGAAUUAUUGGGCGUAAAGCGCGCGCAGGUGGUUUCUUAAGUCUGAUGUGAAAGCCCACGGCUCAACCGUGGAGGGUCAUUGGAAACUGGGAGACUUGAGUGCAGAAAAGGAUAGUGGAAUUCCAAGUGUAGCGGUGAAAUGCGUACAGAUUUGGAGGAACACCAGUGGCGAAGGCGACUAUCUGGUCUGUAACUGACACUGAGGCGCGAAAGCGUGGGGAGCAAACAGGAUUAAAUACCC
RNAcentral lists this ribosomal RNA (799 nucleotides) under uncultured bacterium. RNAcentral describes it as "bacterial SSU rRNA". It matches the Rfam family "Bacterial small subunit ribosomal RNA", at positions 8 to 787 of the family's 1533-position model. The record is from RNAcentral.